AUCGCUUCUCGGCCUUUUGGCUAAGAUCAAGUGUAGUAUCUGUUCUUAUCAGUUUAAUAUCUGAUACGUCCUCCAAUGUGAGGACUAUAUAUUAAAUGGAUUUUUAGCACUGGGAGCUGAAAGAGGGGUUUGCUCCUUUCACUCCACGCAUCGACCUGGUACUGCAGUGCUGCCAGGAACGGUGCAUCCUUC
Small nuclear RNA from Amphiprion ocellaris (clown anemonefish), 192 nucleotides. Its record names the gene U2. It matches the Rfam family "U2 spliceosomal RNA". From Rfam's summary of the family: U2 is a small nuclear RNA (snRNA) component of the spliceosome (involved in pre-mRNA splicing). Complementary binding between U2 snRNA (in an area lying towards the 5' end but 3' to hairpin I) and the branchpoint sequence (BPS) of the intron results the bulging out of an unpaired adenosine, on the BPS, which initiates a nucleophilic attack at the intronic 5' splice site, thus starting the first of two transesterification reactions that mediate splicing. The record is from Ensembl. Lineage: Eukaryota; Metazoa; Chordata; Actinopteri; Pomacentridae.